AUUGAACGCUGGCGGCAGGCCUAACACAUGCAAGUCGAGCGGAUGAAGGGAGCUUGCUCCUGGAUUCAGCGGCGGACGGGUGAGUAAUGCCUAGGAAUCUGCCUGGUAGUGGGGGAUAACGUCCGGAAACGGGCGCUAAUACCGCAUACGUCCUGAGGGAGAAAGUGGGGGAUCUUCGGACCUCACGCUAUCAGAUGAGCCUAGGUCGGAUUAGCUAGUUGGUGGGGUAAAGGCCUACCAAGGCGACGAUCCGUAACUGGUCUGAGAGGAUGAUCAGUCACACUGGAACUGAGACACGGUCCAGACUCCUAAGGGAGGCAGCAGUGGGGAAUAGUGGACAAUGGGCGAAAGCCUGAUCCAGCCAUGCCGCGUGUGUGAAGAAGGUCUUCGGAGUGUAAAGCACUUUAAGUUGGGAGGAAGGGCAGUAAGUUAAUACCUUGCUGUUUUGACGUUACCAACAGAAUAAGCACCGGCUAACUUCGUG
Molecule: ribosomal RNA, 484 nt
Filed under: uncultured bacterium
Lineage: Bacteria
Description: partial 16S ribosomal RNA
Rfam family: Bacterial small subunit ribosomal RNA
Source: RNAcentral